RNAcentral lists this ribosomal RNA (253 nucleotides) under uncultured bacterium. RNAcentral describes it as "partial 16S ribosomal RNA". It matches the Rfam family "Bacterial small subunit ribosomal RNA", at positions 524 to 776 of the family's 1533-position model. The record is from RNAcentral.
UACGGAGGGUGCAAGCGUUAUCCGGAUUUACUGGGUUUAAAGGGUGUGUAGGCGGGUCAUUAAGUCAGUGGUGAAAUCUCCGAGCUUAACUUGGAAACUGCCAUUGAUACUAUUGAUCUUGAAUUUUGUUGAGGUAGGCGGAAUAAGUCAUGUAGCGGUGAAAUGCAUAGAUAUGACUUAGAACACCAAUUGCGAAGGCAGCUUGCUAAACAAAUAUUGACGCUGAGGCACGAAAGCGUGGGGAUCAAACAGG